UUUCCGUAGGUGAACCUGCGGAAGGAUCAUUGCACACACAAAAGUUGCAGCAAACCCCCUUGCGAAUUUCAUGAUUGUCCCCCUUGUGUUUUGGGGGGCCGGGGCAUCGUUGUCCCGGCCUGCCGAACACACCCAAGUCCCCCCUUAUACGGGGAGAGAUUUGGGGCUCCCUAAACAGGGGCCCCUUGUCCCCCUCCCUUUUGGGGUGUGACUUGGUAACCAAACCGAUUGCGCAAUGCAUCAACACUUUCAAUAUGACUGAGUAUAAAAUCGGGAUGCUGCCGCUUGCGAAGGUGGUGGCAUCCCCGAGUUGUAAUAAACAAAAACAACUCUCAGCAACGGAUAUCUUGGCUCUU
This 356-nucleotide unclassified non-coding RNA is filed under the name soil metagenome. Its description in RNAcentral is "partial contains small subunit ribosomal RNA, internal transcribed spacer 1, and 5.8S ribosomal RNA". The record is from RNAcentral.